UUGCCAUAAAUGUCUCGCGGCCGUAACCCACCGCAGCGCGGCGCCACUGUCCCCUAUCAGCUAUACUAGUUCGCAAUUUUGGCGGUAGCAGCCCAGUCUAAGCUCCAACCCUCGAACCGAACGGUCAUCCGAAUUUAGCGAACGAACAAGGUUUAGCAGAUCAGUAGAGCGGCAAAAUGGACGCAAGAUUCAGGAGCAAUCUCGAUAUGAUUGGGCGCAAUGAGCCAAUCACAAAAAAGGCCAAAUUCUGGCAAAGUUAUGUACGAGCCUUGAAAGGCACAGACGACAUGAGAGCUCCAGAGCACACUCACAGGCCUCGCGGCAUUUUCCGUUCCGAUUACCCUGAGCUGCAUUCCUCUUCGUGGCCGUUCGGAAAAUCAAUUUACGACGAUCCCACCCACGCUUCUGACCGCAUCAACGUUCCUGGAUACAGGUACCUGCCCGUACAUCGUGAGAUCUAUGGUUACUCGCCGAGACAGAUAUACCCGCAUCAGUACAAACCAGUAGAACGCUUCGUCCCCGCGCAGCCCUACGACGCAGACAAGGCGUGGAAAGAUCAUCUAAACCGUCUGGCUGAUAUCGACAAACUUUACCCCAGCAAGUCGCCUCUUCUCGCUCGUCACACGCCGAGCUUGCUUUCACCAAAAAGGCUUUUUGACAUUCACGGAAAUCUACUAGAUGAUAUCUUUCCAUCGUUCCCUUCAUUGUUGAGGAAGAAACCCCUAUUUGAUCUUCUGGAACCAUCACCAUAUGCACCCAUUACUGCCUUCAAUAGGGAUCCUUGGUGGUACCCAAGUUACGCCCCUUAUAUUCCGAGAUAUGCCCAAUCGAGCACCCCCUUCUUUCUAAGGGACAGCUACCUUAGUCCCGUCAAGCGGAACUACCUCUGGAGCCGACAUCCGCUGAGGUCUUUUGACCUGGAGGGCCUUUGGCUUGCUACUUUGUUUAAAUAAAGACACAAACCAGAAACAUACUACUAUUACUCGCUGCCCGUACCACGAGUUCACUGUAGCAGUCCUUGGUACAAUCGCACCCCCCUUUGAACUCACGUCUACUAGGGAUUUGAAGUGACCCUUCAUGGAACACGUGGAGUAUAAAAAACGAUACAAAAUCAUGUAAAAAAAAGAACUUUACACCAUCAUCCAUCCUGAACCAUUUUUCCUCACAGUUACAGUCGCCAACGGAAUUUUAUUUAUUAACAUUUUCUUCAAAAGAAUACGUCAUUGCUAUUUGAAAAUAAAAUCACAGGCAAAAUUUUAU
RNA transcript from Belonocnema kinseyi, 1260 nucleotides. RefSeq lists it as uncharacterized. NCBI's taxonomy places the organism in Eukaryota, Metazoa, Arthropoda, Insecta, Hymenoptera, Cynipidae. The transcript is spliced from 9 exons. The record is from RefSeq and is a predicted model, not a curated record.